Long non-coding RNA from Pseudophryne corroboree (corroboree frog), 3068 nucleotides. RefSeq lists it as uncharacterized. The record is from RefSeq and is a predicted model, not a curated record. NCBI's taxonomy places the organism in Eukaryota, Metazoa, Chordata, Amphibia, Anura, Myobatrachidae. The transcript has 4 exons.
GACCUACAGUAAUCCACACUAAGGCAACGAACCAGACCUUUUAACGAAUCUCUUUACCUGGGGCAGCCAGAACUUGAUUGUCGGCGGGGACUUCAAUUUAGUGGUCGACCCAUCCAUGGACAGAUCUAGGGUAAGAGAGACAUGUUUUGCUUGCUUGAGGAAGAAUAUUGGAAAGACAAUACCAACAGAGCCAUCCCAUAUCCCUCCUACAGACAGACCUUUUCAGAUACAUCCAUCCGGAAAAGACAUCAGCCCUACACAAAAUGUUUAUGUGAAUGUAUUUUAUAUAUGUGUCUUAUCUUCAUCUCUGCAACCUCCAGUUAAUGGCACACAUAGUCGACAGGUGAUAUCCACAUAUACUAGCACUCACAUAUGUUUCCCCCUCCAUGUAUCAUCAACUAAAUGUGCACCCCAUUUGAUGGAACAAGAAGCCGAAAAGAGCUCAGUAGUGUUUGUUGUCCCAUUUACAGACCCUUAAUACGGGAUGAGAAGGAUUUAAUGUAUACUUCGCAAUACCUUGAAGCUUAUCUAGAACAUAUACGGCACGAUGAUACAUGCCCCUCAGACAUGGAUUCAUACAUACAUGCUUUUUACUAUCCCACUAGGUCAUACAUUUCCCACCUACAACUCUUCCCCAAUCAUCCAAGCUUUUGAAUAUAUUGUAUAGGUAAUAUUUUUUUCCUGUUUAUUGAUUAGUUAGUGGCAGUUAUUGAUGACUGCCAAAGGGUGGACUGUCGAAGUCAGAAAAAUAUUACAACACACACAUUACGUAUAAACACCACAUAGAUGGCCUCCGUGUGCGUACAUGUUCGGCUGUGCGUGCACAUAUUCGCAAAUUGCGUAUGGUCGCUCCCGCGGUCCUGCGCAUUAGAGCGUGGUAUGAGUAAUUACAGUGGAAUUUGUACUCGCAUGGAAAAGCCACAAAGACAUAUCAUAAAUCUAAUCUAUAUAUUACAUAAAUCCCACACUGUCUGCUUUUUCUUCUAAAUAGCAUGAAGAUCGGUCACACAUAAAUUAAAACUCCCAGAGACUAAAAUACAAUGGCCUUAUUUACACUAAAAAAUAUAUAGAGAUAGUCUGGCGCUAUUGUUACUGCAAGAGUGCCUGCUGCUACGUUCCAAAGACUUGGUUCAUAGCCUAAAAAUAGACAAAGAAGAAACACACAAAAAAGAACAGCGCUGGCACUUUUACACUACAAAGUCAUUGAUUUAAUAUCAUAUAUUAAAAUACAUCUUACACACCCAUACCAUAUAAAACAAUUAAAGUAUAUGACAAUUAAGCUAUAUAGCUUGCAGGAUAAAUCCUGCUUUAUAUACCGAACCAAAGAACUUUUAACUGUUCCUCACUAAUUACUUAUAUAUGUACAGCUGGAUAUUUAAGCUAUAUAUAUAAUUCCUAAAAAAUUGUAAUAGCAGGAGUAUGUGUGUGUGUGUGUGUAUACAUAUAUAUAUAUAUAUAUAUAUAUAUAUAUGAGUAUAUGGAUAUAUGGGGAUAUAUGUAUAUCUUGAGGAUGGAAAUAGAUAAUCAUAUCAUGUGUGGGAUCAUAUUGUUCAGAGACAAAUCUGAUGGGAAUAGGAAUAUUAUUAUAUAUUACCACAUUAAGUUAUUAAUAAUACCAGAUUUAUGUAUGAUUAAUGUGAUGGGUUUAACUGGUCAUGGGGCAGGAACUCAGAUGCAAACAACAGAAACCACAUCUCAAGUCCUAGCCAUCGCCCACUUCUUGAGCUGACCAAUGAUCUCCAGUGCACAGGAUAUGUCCCACCCCCGAACCAAUGGAAGAAGAGCACACAGUGUCUAUUAUAUUAUGUUUUGAUCUACUGUAUAAAAGAUACCUGCUGCAGGCCUGGUCACACAAGACUCACAAAAUUAUCUAUCUAGAUGACCGAGGACCAGACUUGGUAGCGCGGCGAAAUCCAAACAAGUAUGUAUCAUUGACUGUAGCCAUUAUUCUUUUGGAUUGUAUUGCUUUGUUAUUGUAACCCCCCUUUCAGUAAUAAUACGCUGUGGUGUCGGAACCCAGUAGUUUAAUUACAAUCUGGUGUUGUGUCUUCCUUUCCCUGCUAAGGUUUAAAGUGUAUUAUUAUCGCAUUGCAUAACUGUUAAGGGUUCACGGUGUAUCAUUGGGUGUGUACGCGCUGUGUGUACUUUGUAAAGCCAGCGCGGCGUUUGUACGCAAAGUCCGUACUCGGUACGGGACUCUGUACGCUAACGGUGUAAAAAGUCUGUAGGUUGCAGAUUAAGUAUAGCGCCCGCAGCGGCUUCAUUUAAAGUGUAUGAAAUGUCUUUUUAAAGUGUUGCUUUUAGUCCUGUAUGAAAAUCAGCAUUCUCAACCCCCUACGCUGUCACUAGCUACUUCUAGACUACUCUUCCUAUUCACGAUGGACUGGCUGGAAAUGACUCUAAAUAAAGAAACACUGAGUCCUACAUUAUUCCAAUGCUGGGGACGAUUUAUAAACCGAUUGCCCACCCUGACGAAAUUGGCUAUUAAGCAGGGCUUCCAAUGUCCCACAUGGUACGGCCAUCAACUCCUGACUGAUAAUCCUCCCAUCUCUCUCCCGUGACUACAUAAUUCUCUCAUCUUCCUUAUCUUUCCCAUUUCCCCCUCCUCACUGCUACACUGCUUGCUGCAGCUUCCCUUAGCUUUCCUCGCUUCCCCCCCGCUACAUUUUAUCCAUGCGUCUCCGUUGUCUACAUGCUUUCUCUCGCUCUGAUGAUGUCUCCAUGGAUGGGUCGGCGAUCCCUAUGCCCCGGCAGGUACUGUUUUUCCUAUGUUUUUCUAUUUUGUUUUUUUUGUUUUAUUAGUUUUUCGUUCUCCACUGGGGAGAACGCAUUAGUAUGUUGAACUGUUUAUACUGUUUGUAUUUUUGUUUUUGUAUCUGAUUGACGAGCAGUAUUUUUGUGGAGUGGCUUUUUUCAUAAUUCUUGCAAUUGUUUCGUCUACAGCUCGGUUAUUAUAUAUUAGAAAAUGGAAAAAGUGAGGUUUUCUUCUAGGCACUGAUAUCCAUAUGAUUAGAAAGUAUCUGUCGCAAUAUAUUUCUGUAUUAGGCUGGAUUCUAUGGCUACUUAUG